AGUGAACGCUGGCGGUAGGCCUAACACAUGCAAGUCGAACGGCAGCACAGUAAGAGCUUGCUCUUACGGGUGGCGAGUGGCGGACGGGUGAGGAAUACAUCGGAAUCUACUUUUUCGUGGGGGAUAACGUAGGGAAACUUACGCUAAUACCGCAUACGACCUACGGGUGAAAGCAGGGGAUCUUCGGACCUUGCGCGAUUGAAUGAGCCGAUGUCGGAUUAGCUAGUUGGCGGGGUAAAGGCCCACCAAGGCGACGAUCCGUAGCUGGUCUGAGAGGAUGAUCAGCCGCACUGGAACUGAGACACGGUCCAGACUCCUACGGGAGGCAGCAGUGGGGAAUAUUGGACAAUGGGCGCAAGCCUGAUCCAGCCAUGCCGCGUGGGUGAAGAAGGCCUUCGGGUUGUAAAGCCCUUUUGUUGGGAAAGAAAAGCAGCAGGUUAAUACCCCGCUGUUCUGACGGUACCCAAAGAAUAAGCACCGGCUAACUUCGUG
RNAcentral lists this ribosomal RNA (492 nucleotides) under uncultured bacterium. RNAcentral describes it as "partial 16S ribosomal RNA". It matches the Rfam family "Bacterial small subunit ribosomal RNA", at positions 29 to 507 of the family's 1533-position model. The record is from RNAcentral.